Molecule: RNA transcript, 3551 nt
Organism: Falco peregrinus (peregrine falcon)
Lineage: Eukaryota; Metazoa; Chordata; Aves; Falconiformes; Falconidae
Gene: FXR1
Gene name: FMR1 autosomal homolog 1
Exons: 16
Source: RefSeq, a predicted model, not a curated record
GGCGGGCGGAGGGGGAGGGGGAGCCCGCCAGCGCUCCCCCCCGUGGUGACAGUUUCUAGAAGCACGUCCCGGCGUCCUUUGCGCUCUCAACAUGGAGGAGCUGACGGUGGAAGUGCGCGGCUCUAACGGGGCCUUCUACAAGGGAUUUAUCAAAGAUGUUCAUGAGGACUCGCUCACAGUUGUAUUUGAAAACAAUUGGCAACCGGAGCGCCAGGUACCCUUUAAUGAAGUCAGAUUACCACCACCCCCUGAUAUCAAGAAAGAAAUUGGUGAAGGAGAUGAAGUGGAGGUUUAUUCUAGAGCCAAUGACCAAGAACCUUGUGGCUGGUGGCUGGCAAAAGUUCGAAUGAUGAAAGGAGAGUUUUAUGUCAUUGAAUAUGCUGCUUGUGAUGCCACUUACAAUGAAAUUGUCACUUAUGAACGACUGCGACCUGUGAAUCAAAAUAAAACUGUCAAAAAGAACACCUUUUUCAAGUGCACAGUGGACGUUCCUGAAGAUCUGAGAGAUGCGUGUGCUAAUGAAAAUGCACAUAAAGAUUUCAAAAAAGCUGUGGGAGCAUGUCGAAUUUUUUAUCAUGCUGAGACUGCUCAACUAAUAAUACUGUCUGCCAGCGAAGCAACAGUGAAGAGAGUGAACAUUCUGAGUGACAUGCAUUUGCGCAGCAUUCGCACCAAACUUAUGCUUAUGUCAAGAAACGAAGAAGCUACAAAACACUUAGAAUGCACAAAACAGCUUGCUGCAGCAUUUCAUGAGGAAUUUGUAGUCAGAGAAGAUUUAAUGGGACUUGCUAUAGGAACACAUGGCAGUAACAUACAACAAGCCAGAAAGGUUCCAGGAGUUACCGCCAUUGAACUUGAGGAGGAUACUGGUACUUUCAGAAUCUAUGGAGAGACUGCUGAUGCAGUAAAAAAGGCUAGAAGUUACUUGGAAUUUGUGGAGGAUUUUAUUCAAGUUCCCAGAAAUCUUGUUGGAAAAGUUAUUGGAAAAAAUGGAAAAGUGAUUCAGGAGAUUGUAGACAAGUCUGGAGUCGUCAGGGUGAGAAUUGAAGGAGAUAAUGAAAAUAAACUGCCCCGUGAAGAUGGAAUGGUACCGUUUGUAUUUGUUGGUACUAAAGAAAGCAUUGGAAAUGUCCAAGUUCUUUUAGAAUACCACAUCGCGUAUCUAAAGGAGGUAGAACAGCUAAGACUGGAAAGGCUCCAGAUUGAUGAGCAGUUGCGUCAGAUUGGUAUGGGUUUCAGGCCUUCGUCUGCUAGAGUUCCUGAAAAAGAGAAGGGUUAUACCACUGACGAGAGCACCCUCUCCUCAGUGCAAGGUUCCAGAUCCUACAGUGGAAGAGGGAGAGGUCGCAGAGGCCCCAAUUACACAUCUGGUUACGGUACAAACUCUGAGCUCUCUAAUCCCUCUGAAACAGAAUCUGAGAGAAAAGAUGAACUUAGUGACUGGUCCUUGGCAGGAGAAGAUGACAGAGAAAGCAGACACCAGCGUGACAAUAGGCGACGUCCUGGAGGACGAGGACGUAGUGUAUCUGGAGGUCGUGGGCGUGGUGGACCUCGUGGUGGCAAGUCAUCCAUUAGCUCUGUGCUUAAAGACCCGGACAGCAACCCUUACAGCUUGCUUGAUAACACAGAGUCAGACCAGACUGUGGAUACCGAUGCUAGUGAAUCUCACCACAGUAGUAACCGCCGCAGGAGGUCACGCCGGCGAAGGACCGAUGAAGAUGCUGUUCUUAUGGAUGGAAUGACAGAGUCUGAUACAGCUUCUGUUAAUGAGAAUGGUUUAGUUACGCUUCUGAUCCAGUUCUCGUUGAAGUCAAUAGCCAAGCUGCUGUUGAGUUCAGUGGUCCAGGAUCAAGACAAACACGAGGGUUCAUGAUCCGCGCUGCCCUGCACCCGUGCACUUGCACUGAAUGUGACACAACCUUUUCAGCACUGGCUGAGAAGCCCAGAGUUGGAAUGGCAGGAUGUGGGUGCCCCGGCAGCGCCCUGUGAGGGAGCUCACGCGGCACCUGCCAGCCCCAUGCCUGUGUCAGACUGCUGCUGUCAGUCCUCAGCUUUUGUGAAUAUUUGUAAGUCAUCUACAAAUUGAGGGUGGGAAGGAGGAGGAAUUGAAAUGAAAUUGCAUGUUUCCAAUUUUUUGUUGUUGUGGCUUGUUGCAUUUCUUUUGUGUGUACUAACACUUGAAAUGUUAAAGGUGAACUAUCUAAUUUUCAAUCUAAUGCCCUAUUUAGAAAAUGCUUGUAUGUACAUGGCAUAAGGUAGUAACAGAAGGUCUUCUAGAUUGACAGGUUCAAAAUUUCACUCGUACUUGUCUCCCUUAUUUGUGGUGCUCAUACAACAUUGGAUUAAGAAGAAAAAAGCUGUUGCAUUACGCUAAAAUUUGGGGGAAGAAAAAACCACUCACCCUCCUAAAAAAAGUAAAAAUGCUUAUCACCAUUUAAUUCAGAAACUAAUUUCAGCCAGCAGCACCAAGAGAUGUUAGGUAGGCUAUUUCUCUUUCAUUCUCAGAAUACUUAAAUUUACAACAAAACUGCCCAAACCCAAUUUCUUAUUUUUUGUCCUUUUGAUGUCUUCUGUGCAAGCUGCCAUUUUCAGUUUGCAUAAUAAAUAUGUUUAACUACAACAGUAAGAGCAUUGGUAGUUACACUUUGUGAAAAAUGCUCUAAGAAUUUAAUCUCUACAUAAAUACUUAACAUGAAUAAUGAACAAAACUAUGACAGAAGGAACUCCCCGCCUCCCCCCCAUGCUAACAGCAUACUUCAGUCAUUUAGUUGUAUUAUUUUAUUUACAUUGCUGUAUGUUUUGGGUUCCUACUACAUCUAUGACUAUUACGAAUUGGUGUCUUACACUGAGUGCGUAAAACAUACUUCAUCUUUUUGUGAGGAGUUGGAUACAGAACCUCCUCUUUAAAGAAUUAAUUCUCCUUGUGCAGAAACUCACUUGACUGUUGUGCAAGGACCCAGCUACUGUAACAGAAAAUUCAUACUUCGUGCUUCCUAUUGCAGAUGUAGCUUUCAUGCACAGUCAUUCCUAAAUCCAAAAAAAUAGUUCACCUGAAUGCAUGAUACACUAAAUGCAAUUGACUGUACUGUUCAGUAGAUAAUGCUUCCAAACUCUAAUGUGCUUUAGCUCAUCAAAGAUACAAGUGUCUAUUUAAAUUUGUAGUAUUACGUAUUCUAAAGAUAGAAUUGACUCUCAGUUGGUGUGGUUGCAAGAGAGUGGGAUAAGACAGAACCAGGCUCCAAGGACAGAUGCUGAGGUGGUCAGAAGAAGAGAGGUCAGAACCCCCCUGGCCAGCAUCCAGUAAGUGUAGCUGUAGCAGUGAAACAUGGCUGUCCCGCCGGGGAGCCCAGGCUCGCUCACACGGAGCCACUUCAAGUGUCUCUGCAGACACCACAAUUAAUCCACCCACCGCAAGGCAGAGUUAACCGUGCGGAUUGCUUUUUGAAUACCAGGAGGAGGUAACAGUAGCUGAUUAUAUAUCACGAGCUGAAUCUCAGAGUAGACAGAGAAACCCUCCAAAGGAGACACUAGCCAAAACCAAGAAAGAAACG